GACCUCGGAUCAGGUAGAAUGCUC
This 24-nucleotide ribosomal RNA is filed under the name Diaporthe sp. CZ-2018. RNAcentral's name for it is "partial 28S ribosomal RNA". The record is from RNAcentral. Lineage: Eukaryota; Fungi; Ascomycota; Sordariomycetes; Diaporthales; Diaporthaceae.